ACGAACGCUGGCGGCAUGCCUAACACAUGCAAGUCGAACGAGACCUUCGGGUCUAGUGGCGCACGGGUGCGUAACGCGUGGGAACCUGCCCUUAGGUUCGGAAUAACUCCCCGAAAGGGGUGCUAAUACCGGAUAAUGUCUUCGGACCAAAGAUUUAUCGCCUUUGGAUGGGCCCGCGUUGGAUUAGCUAGUUGGUAGGGUAAAAGCCUACCAAGGCGACGAUCCAUAGCUGGUCUGAGAGGAUGAUCAGCCACACUGGGACUGAGACACGGCCCAGACUCCUACGGGAGGCAGCAGUGGGGAAUAUUGGACAAUGGGCGAAAGCCUGAUCCAGCAAUGCCGCGUGAGUGAUGAGGGCCUUAGGGUUGUAAAGCUCUUUUACCCGGGAUGAUAAUGACAGUACCGAGAGAAUAAGCUCCGGCUAACUCCGUG
RNAcentral lists this ribosomal RNA (432 nucleotides) under uncultured bacterium. RNAcentral describes it as "partial 16S ribosomal RNA". It matches the Rfam family "Bacterial small subunit ribosomal RNA", at positions 29 to 507 of the family's 1533-position model. The record is from RNAcentral.